GAUGAACGCUGGCGGCGUGCCUAAUACAUGCAAGUCGAGCGAACGGACGAGAAGCUUGCUUCUCUGAUGUUAGCGGCGGACGGGUGAGUAACACGUGGAUAACCUACCUAUAAGACUGGGAUAACUUCGGGAAACCGGAGCUAAUACCGGAUAAUAUUUUGAACCGCAUGGUUCAAAAGUGAAAGACGGUCUUGCUGUCACUUAUAGAUGGAUCCGCGCUGCAUUAGCUAGUUGGUAAGGUAACGGCUUACCAAGGCAACGAUGCAUAGCCGACCUGAGAGGGUGAUCUGCCACACUGGAACUGAGACACGGUCCAGACUCCUACGGGAGGCAGCAGUAGGGAAUCUUCCGCAAUGGGCGAAAGCCUGACGGAGCAACGCAGCGUGAGUGAUGAAGGUCUUCGGAUCGUAAAACUCUGUUAUUAGGGAAGAACAUAUGUGUAAGUAACUGUGCACAUCUUGACGGUACCUAAUCAGAAAGCCACGGCUAACUACGUG
Molecule: ribosomal RNA, 497 nt
Filed under: uncultured bacterium
Lineage: Bacteria
Description: partial 16S ribosomal RNA
Rfam family: Bacterial small subunit ribosomal RNA
Source: RNAcentral